RNAcentral lists this ribosomal RNA (164 nucleotides) under Pseudomonas sp. RNAcentral's name for it is "partial 16S ribosomal RNA". It matches the Rfam family "Bacterial small subunit ribosomal RNA", at positions 1370 to 1533 of the family's 1533-position model. Lineage: Bacteria; Pseudomonadati; Pseudomonadota; Gammaproteobacteria; Pseudomonadales; Pseudomonadaceae. RNAcentral also lists the same sequence under 1 other name. The record is from RNAcentral.
GUUCCCGGGCCUUGUACACACCGCCCGUCACACCAUGGGAGUGGGUUGCAAAAGAAGUAGGUAGCUUAACCUUCGGGAGGGCGCUUACCACUUUGUGAUUCAUGACUGGGGUGAAGUCGUAACAAGGUAACCGUAGGGGAACCUGCGGUUGGAUCACCUCCUUA